This 24-nucleotide unclassified non-coding RNA is filed under the name Arabidopsis thaliana (thale cress). The record is from RNAcentral. Lineage: Eukaryota; Viridiplantae; Streptophyta; Magnoliopsida; Brassicales; Brassicaceae.
AAGAAGAUGAAGCGACGGAGACAA